UAGGGAAUAUUGGUCAAUGGGUGAGAGCCCCAACCAGCCAUGCCGCGUGCAGGAAGACGGCCUUCUGGGUUGUAAACUGCUUUUACCAGGGGAUAAAAAGAUCUUGCGAGAUUAAUUGAAGGUACCUGGUGAAUAAGCACCGGCUAACUACGUGCCAGCAGCCGCGGUAAUACGUAGGGUGCAAGCGUUGUCCGGAUUUAUUGGGUUUAAAGGGUGCGUAGGCGGCCUGUUAAGUCAGUGGUGAAAUCCAACAGCUCAACUGUUGAUGUGCCAAUGAUACUGACAGGCUUGAGUACAGACGAGGUAGGCGGAAUUGACAGUGUAGCGGUGAAAUGCAUAGAUAUUGUCAAGAACACCGAUAGCGAAGGCAGCUUGCUAGCCUGUAACUGACGCUGAGGCACGAAAGUGUGGGGAUCAAACAGGAUUAGAUACCCUGGUAGUCCACACUGUAAACGAUGAUUACUCGAUGUUGGCGAUACACAGUCAGCGUCUUAGCGAAAGCGAUAAGUAAUCCACCUGGGGAGUACGCCGGCAACGGUG
Molecule: ribosomal RNA, 540 nt
Filed under: uncultured bacterium
Lineage: Bacteria
Description: bacterial SSU rRNA
Rfam family: Bacterial small subunit ribosomal RNA
Source: RNAcentral